AGACCGGAUGUGGCUGUGCUUCAGACCGCGCGGGAAGUCCUGGGAUGGCGUGGAGCCCGCUUCAGCUGAAGGGACAGAGGGAGAGGCAGGGGCCAGACAGCGCCAACCACCUGAGACCCAGGCAAGAGACAGUAUGGUGGGUGGGGGUACUGCCCAGUAAGGGCUGGGGGAGAGGACUGAGGAAACCCUCCCUCCAUCAACGUGCCUGGGAGCCCUGCCAGGUGAGAGCCCUGUUGUUCCUGGAUGACUGUGGACCGCUCACUCCGGCCCCUCAGCCCCUACCCAGCCUGCCCCCAGGAGCAGCACGGCUGGGCACCAGCAUCUCUCCAGCUGGCAGUUGCCCCACUGGGAUCCCCCAAAUGCCCUGCAAGCCAAGGUGUGCAAGCCCUGCACACUGAGGGCUGGAGGGCAGCCCCCGUGCUGUGUUCCAGAUGGAGGGAGGGGUGGGGAGGGGGGAGCUACACUGGGGAGGGCUGCGCCGGUCACUGCCGAGGAGGGAAAGCCUCAACAUCACCCCUCUUACCCCCCAUCUCCCGCAGCCUCCCAGCAAGGUUGUGGCCCGCAGCGGACGCUCCCCACGAGGUAGAGCCCCGUUUCCACACCUGGAGCAGCUGCACCUGGAGGUGGGGCUCAUCUCCAGACCUGGAGCAGCUGCCUGCCCCAGGGCAGAAGCCACUGCCCGCAGCUAGGGAGCAUUGAGGAGGUCUCCCCAGGUCCGCGCGGGUUUUCUCCAGGUCCUCCAGUUUCCUCCCACAUCCCAAGUAUACACCUCAGCCUCACGGCAUGUCUACAUGGGCCUAGUCCGAGUGAGUGUGGGUGUCCCAUGGAGGCCUGUCCUAUCCAGGGCGGGUGCCCACCUUGGCACUGAGCCUCCAGGAUGGGCCCUGGUCACCUGCCACUCUGAACUGGAGAAAGCAAGUUGGAAAAUGAAUGAAUACAUGAAUAUAAAUUAUCAAAUAAAAAUUAUAAAGCCUACGGUA
RNAcentral lists this long non-coding RNA (980 nucleotides) under Homo sapiens (human). RNAcentral describes it as "non-protein coding FRGCA:3". The record is from RNAcentral. Lineage: Eukaryota; Metazoa; Chordata; Mammalia; Primates; Hominidae.